AUCUGGAGGAUCCUCCAGGAGUGCCUGCAGUUGUCCUGGAAAUAUUUCACAUUAUAAAACUUUUGCCUCUUCCAAAGUGGCUUUUGAAGUCACCUUUUCCAACAACUCUGUUCUCCUGUGGCAAGAUAAGGGUUAAAAAGCCUUUCUACCUCAAGGAGAAAACAGUAGAUAAUCAGCCUUAUCCCCCUAAGAAACAUCCAGCUAGAGGUGAGCUGAACCUUUAUGUGAGUAAGGACUCAUUUUCUCUAAUAUAAUCAUAUGUUUGGUGAUGGAUUCAAAGAAAAUUGCCCAGUACUUCCAGGGUUAAAUCACUAAUAAUGAUGUUAGUAGUGAUCUGGCUGGCAAAGUAUAAUUCCCCUGAGAUCACUUUCUCCAAAAAAAGGCAGCAGUGUGCUGUGGUGGGUUUUGAGCAGGCAUUAUACCCCGGGUGAGGAUUAGGUGACCACUUUCUCAUCUAACCCUUUCCUGACACUUCAAGUUCAUGUGGUGUGUCAGUGAGGUGCUAAGAGGGUGACAUUCACUGUAGCCUGACCGUCUUUUGUCUUUAUUUGUCUUCUUUACUGCUUUUUGGUAACCUCAGAGAAAGAAGUUACAGGAACUAUCAGCCAGGUGACAAAUCUGCCAGCAGGCCAGGGUGAGAGCUGAAGAAUCUGAUCCAAGGGCAGCACCUGAUGCUGGCAAAGGAAAGGCUUGGAAGUCGAGGGCCCAUGGACACAGUGGACAGUCCUUUACCCAUCUGGCCCCUGGAUCAUCAGAAUAACCUAGAGUACAUUUCACCUGCUACAAGAACUUUCCUAAUUGUCCCCAGAAGUGCUAUACAACUACUCCCAGGUAUUUUUACUGAGAGGAAAUGGUGA
Molecule: long non-coding RNA, 857 nt
Filed under: Cyanistes caeruleus (blue tit)
Lineage: Eukaryota; Metazoa; Chordata; Aves; Passeriformes; Paridae
Description: lncRNA (ENSCCEG00000013340.1)
Source: RNAcentral